Homo sapiens (human) is the source of this 1242-nucleotide long non-coding RNA. NCBI's taxonomy places the organism in Eukaryota, Metazoa, Chordata, Mammalia, Primates, Hominidae. The record is from Ensembl.
AGAGCCUGAGCCCACCAGAGAAAGUCUGUGUGCAGAGGGAGGGCCUCAGGUCCUGCUGCUCCUUCAUCUUGACCCCUUCACACCCUCCUCUAACAGGGACCUCGACCUCCCUUCUCCACUCUCCUGGAUCCUGCUCAGUGUGGUGCAGGCCUUCUCUGGGGCCCUGGAGUUCCCACUGACCUUCAGCCCCGCCAGUUGCAUCUGCUGUUCCCACUGAAGGCCUCAAAGGGCCCUCCCCAGUCUCCAGCUGUCAGCUUUCCCACCUCCACCUUCUCUCCUCCUUUCGGUUCUGCUUCUGAAUUUCUUCAAAAAUUCUCCUGCAUCAAGACUCUCAUGCUAGUCAGUUCCUGCCUGGGGUCACCAGACUGCUUCGAAGUCAGGAAGAACAUGGUGGGGACGGUGACUUGAGUUUCCUGGACCACAGUGCAGCUGCUUCCAGAAGAUAGGGGCUGUGGUGAGAACAGAACUUCCUUUGCUGCGACAUGAACUGCUUCCUCAGAUGAUGGCUGGAUUCCUGUGAAUGUGGAUAAAGCAUUCUGUCAGUCCACAGAUGGUGUUGCUGGCAGAAGCAUUACAGGCAAGGCAGGCAGCUCCAUCAUACUCCAGGGUCACCCCUGUAAUGCUGAGGCUGUCCACUUUUGUGUAUUGCCAGCUUACUGCAUAGGUUCAGCUGUAACCAGGUCUAAGUGUUUUCCUCAGUAAACUGGUCAUAAGGAGCAGUUCAUGAGGUCACAGGCAUGGGGUGAAGGACAGGACACAAUGCAACAGGAGUUUGUGUCAAAGGAAUCUGAAGUGCCUGUUAUGAAAUCUACUCAUAUAUUCCAGACCUACUCAAACUUGAUCUCUUAUAUACCAUGUCCAUUUGAUGAUAGACUGUGCACAUGCCUGAUCUCUUGGCAAGGUCCUGUUCUCUACGAGUGAAUAUCCUAAUGACCAUAAUAAAGCCAGUUCCCUUUUUGGGGACUGACAUUUGUUGAGAACUCCCCCUAUGAAUGCUGUCUUGCUGCAAAACUUCACCUCUGGAUAAAGUGGCUGUGCUCCUUCUGGAUGUCUGCAUCAGGGCUGCUGAGGCACAGCUGAGAAUGCACCACACAGCUGACUACGCUGCUGAGCAAAUCUCAUUACUAAAUGCACAUCCCUUUCAAGGAUGCCAGGCGUUAGGGCUGCAUUGCAACUUUGAUGGACACUGGGGAUUAAUGCCUGUGUGUCCUUGUUCCAUUAAAAAGUUUGAAGUUUGCUGGG